This 613-nucleotide ribosomal RNA is filed under the name uncultured Suillus. Its description in RNAcentral is "eukaryotic LSU rRNA". The stretch from base 175 to 329 matches the Rfam family "5.8S ribosomal RNA". The record is from RNAcentral. Lineage: Eukaryota; Fungi; Basidiomycota; Agaricomycetes; Boletales; Suillaceae.
UGUCGCUGGCCUUUCAUCGAGGCAUGUGCACGCUCUCUUCUGGACUUUCGCCGUAUGGGCGCGGGGCGACCCGCGUCUUCAUAUACCUCUUCGUGUAGAAAGUCUUUGAAUGUUUUUACAAUCAUCGAGUCGUGACUUCUAGGAGACGCGAUUCUUUGAGACAAAAGUUAUCACAACUUUCAGCAAUGGAUCUCUUGGCUCUCGCAUCGAUGAAGAACGCAGCGAAUCGCGAUAUGUAAUGUGAAUUGCAGAUCUACAGUGAAUCAUCGAAUCUUUGAACGCACCUUGCGCUCCUCGGUGUUCCGAGGAGCAUGCCUGUUUGAGCGUCAGUAAAUUCUCAACCCCUCUCGAUUUGCUUCGAGUGGGGCUUGGAUAGUGGGGGCUGCCGGAGACCCGGAAUUCAUUCCGGGACUCGGGCUCCUCUGAAAUGCAUCGGCUUGCGGUCGACUUUCGACUUUGCGCGACAAAGCUUUCGGCGUGAUAAUGAUCGCCGUUCGCUGAAGCGCAUGAAUGAAUGGUCCCGUGCCUCUAAUCAGUCGACGCCUUCUGGGCGUCUUCCUUAUAGACGUUUGACCUCAAAUCAGGUAGGACUACCCGCUGAACUUAAGCAUAU